This 462-nucleotide ribosomal RNA is filed under the name uncultured bacterium. RNAcentral describes it as "bacterial SSU rRNA". It matches the Rfam family "Bacterial small subunit ribosomal RNA", at positions 29 to 534 of the family's 1533-position model. The record is from RNAcentral.
AACGAACGCUGGCGGCAUGCCUAACACAUGCAAGUCGAACGAACCCUUCGGGGUUAGUGGCGCACGGGUGCGUAACGCGUGGGGAUCUGCCCAAAGGUUCGGAAUAACUCAGAGAAAUUUGAGCUAAUACCGGAUAAUGUCUUCGGACCAAAGAUUUAUUGCCUUUGGAUGAACCCGCGUAGGAUUAGCUUGUUGGUGGGGUAAAGGCCUACCAAGGCGACGAUCCUUAGCUGGUCUGAGAGGAUGAUCAGCCACACUGGGACUGAGACACGGCCCAGACUCCUACGGGAGGCAGCAGUGGGGAAUAUUGGACAAUGGGCGAAAGCCUGAUCCAGCAAUGCCGCGUGAGUGAUGAAGGCCUUAGGGUUGUAAAGCUCUUUUACCUAGGGAUGAUAAUGACAGUACCUGGAGAAUAAAGCUCCGGCUAACUCCGUGCCAGCAGCCGCGGUAAUGUGGUACGAU